AUCGAACGCUGGCGGCAGGCCUAACACAUGCAAGUCGAACGAGUGGCGGACGGGUGAGUAAUGCCUGGGAAACUGCCUGUUGGAGGGGGAUAACCACUGGAAACGGUAGCUAAUACCGCAUUCCCUCCGUUGUGCCCAGAUGGGAUUAGCUAGUUGGGGGGGUAAUGGCUCACAAAGGCGACGAUCCCCAGCUGGUCUGAGAGGAAGACCGGCCACACUGGAACUGAGAAACGGUCCAAACUCCUAGGGGGGCAGGCGGUGGGGAAUAUUGCACAAUGGGCGCAGGCCGGAUGCAGCCAUGCCGCGUGUAUAAAGAAGGCCUUCGGGUUGUAAAGUACUUUCAGCGGGGAGGCGUUACCCGCAGAGGAAGCACCGGCUAACUCCGUGCCAGCAGCCGCGGUAAUAC
RNAcentral lists this ribosomal RNA (406 nucleotides) under uncultured bacterium. RNAcentral describes it as "partial 16S ribosomal RNA". It matches the Rfam family "Bacterial small subunit ribosomal RNA", at positions 29 to 526 of the family's 1533-position model. The record is from RNAcentral.